AAGGGGCGUUUAAGACUACAACGUUGAUAGUCGAGAUGUGGAAGUGGUGUGAGCCAUUGAGCUAACUCGUACUAAUUACCCGUGAGGCUUAACCAUACAACACCAAAGUGGUUU
RNAcentral lists this ribosomal RNA (114 nucleotides) under Pseudoalteromonas rubra. Its description in RNAcentral is "partial 23S ribosomal RNA". The stretch from base 1 to 96 matches the Rfam family "Bacterial large subunit ribosomal RNA", at positions 2830 to 2925 of the family's 2925-position model. The record is from RNAcentral. Lineage: Bacteria; Pseudomonadati; Pseudomonadota; Gammaproteobacteria; Alteromonadales; Pseudoalteromonadaceae.